GUGCCAGCCGCCGCGGUAAUACGGGGGGUGCAAGCGUUAAUCGGAAUCACUGGGCGUAAAGGGUGCGUAGGCGGUGCAUUAGGUCUGUCGUGAAAUCCCCGGGCUCAACCUGGGAAUGGCGGUGGAAACCGGUGUACUAGAGUAUGGGAGAGGGUGGUGGAAUUCCAGGUGUAGCGGUGAAAUGCGUAGAGAUCUGGAGGAACAUCAGUGGCGAAGGCGGCCACCUGGCCCAAUACUGACGCUGAGGCACGAAAGCGUGGGGAGCAAACAGGAUUAGGUACCCUGGUAGUCCACGCCCUAAACGAUGAAUACUAGAUGUUUGGUGCCAAGCGUACUGAGUGUCGUAGCUAACGCGAUAAGUAUUCCGCCUGGGAAGUACGGCCGCAAGGUUAAAACUCAAAGGAAUUGACGGGGGCCCGCACAAGCGGUGGAGCAUGUGGUUUAAUUCGAUGCAACGCGAAGAACCUUACCUGGGCUUGACAUGUCUGGAAUCCUGCAGAGAUGCGGGAGUGCCCUUCGGGGAAUCAGAACACAGGUGCUGCAUGGCUGUCGUCAGCUCGUGUCGUGAGAUGUUGGGUUAAGUCCCGCAACGAGCGCAACCCUUGUCCUUAGUUGCCAGCGGUUCGGCCGGGCACUCUAGGGAGACUGCCGGUGACAAACCGGAGGAAAGGUGG
Molecule: ribosomal RNA, 674 nt
Filed under: uncultured bacterium
Lineage: Bacteria
Description: bacterial SSU rRNA
Rfam family: Bacterial small subunit ribosomal RNA
Source: RNAcentral